AUCUUUACUGUGAAUUUAGUAAUUACUAAUUUGAAGAUAGUUUAACUUAAACUGAUCAUAAACCGCCUAAAAAUGCAUACAAUAUUUUAUUUUCUAAGGCAUCCUACAUCUGUAGGUUUCAUAGUACUACCAAUAACUAAUGAUAGCUCAACAGUACUCUUAGAAAUUCUAAGCUUGAAAAUAUCAAUCUAGUUUUUUUUAAUUCUGUAGUUAUUUAAAGCCCUGAAUUUUAAUACUUGCUUGUGUGUGUUGACUGUAGGCUAGAGAAAACAACCGAGACUUUUUUUUUUUAAGUGGGUGAUGCCAAACUGAACAUACCAAAACAAAUGUAUUCUUGCACAAGAGCUCAUGAGGGCCAUGAAGUGAUAGUUAACAUGUAACGAUUGUAACCAGUGAACUAAAUUAGUAGCUAUACACACUUAAUGAACUAAAUAAGACACUGGAAAAUGUGCUAAAGAGAAGGGACAGUGCUUUUCUCACGUUGGUGUGGCCUAGCAAUACCGUGAACUUAUUUUCUUAUGUUAGAAUUAUAGGCAAUACCUAGGGUCACGGACUCCGCUAAGGACGUUCUCCUUAAGAAAAGGUGUAUCAAGAAAGGACACCUUGCUACCCAGAUUCUGGAUAGUGUGCAUCGCUCCUUUAAAAAAAACAUGUAACUGAUGGAAGUGGAUCCACCUAAAGAAGUUGAGGGAAAUCUUAAGACUACCAAAUACCUCUCAGAAAGCAAGGUCACAGCGGCUUGGAAAUGGCCCCUGCUGUCCUGUUUUCCUUCCCCCUACUCUGUCUGCAUUGCUUUGGGUCAUUCAAAAAACAUCGGAGCCUGUGUUACCUGUAUUUCCCUGGCGUGGUACACGAUGAUCAGACCGAGCAGGAUGAUCGUGGAGAGACUGAUAAGGCAUUUCAGAGCUAAUGAAUACAGCGACGCCUGCAACACAGUUAGAUGGAACACUUUAAGAGAGAAGCACUUUUCAACCACCUUCCAGGCCAUAGGAGUCAGCUCCGAGCACGUGGACCUGAACUCAAGCAGGCAACCAACACAAGAGAGAAUAUAACAUCUGUUUCCUACACUGCAUGCUCGGAGCAGAACUUGGAACUAAAAGGUCUUUUGUGUAUAUGUUAUGACUUCCAUUCAGUGUUUUGAUCAUGCUGGAAGGUACAAACCCGACAACCUACAGCAAUAACCUGCCCACAAGAUAUGCUGGUGCAACAGUAGAACACAUGUUACAGGAGUAGCCAACCAUAUUUUGAUUGGAUUUUAAAUUAUUUCUAUUUUAUGUGUAUGGCUAUUUUGCUUCCACGUAUGUCUGUGUGCCACUUGUAUGUACGGUGCCAGUUGAGGCCAGAGAACAGUAUCAGAGCCCCUGGAACUGGAGUUACAGUUGGUUAUGAGUCACCAUGUGGAUGUUGAGAAUUGAACCUAUGUCUUUAUGAAGAACAGUCAAUGUUGUUAAUAACUAAACUAUCUUUCCAGCCCCAAUUAUCACAUUGUUUACUUUUAUAAAGAAUGCUGUUGUGAAUAUAUUUGUAUAGAUUUCCUAUAUUUUUUAGUUUUAUGGGAAUAUAGUUUCAGAAUUAUGAAGUCUUCUGUAAGACUAUUUUAAAACUCUUGAGAAAUCUCUAUUUCCCAGAAGCUUCAUACUAAAACAUAUCCUCAGGAGAAAUCCUUAUUUAAAUAUUCCAUCCUUAGUUUUUACCAUAAUCCUUCAUUGGUUUAUUAUGCAUGCUAAUAUUCAAUCAUCCUUUUGAACUUUUUGAAAUAUGUAAAUAAUCUUUUGUAACAAUUAAGAAAGGUAGAUAAAACUACUUAUUUGAAUAAUAAAUCUAAGGCCCAGGAACCUGAUUCUUUACAUAAAAAUUAUUUUGAAAUACUAAAAUAAAUUAGUAAAUCUAUUAGUAAAGCUUAAAAAUCUGAACAUUUUAUAGCUUGACAGAUACCUUAUUCUUCCAAGUAGCUAAGGAGCAAAUACUAUCCACAGAGAGCUGUUGAAAUAAAGUCGUUGCCAAGCCUGCAUGGAAACAGAAUCAUGUCUGAAAUGCUUGUCUCAAUCUCUCGGUUAAAUGAAAUCAUACAGAUUAUACAUGUGAGUGAAUAUAGAAUGUCAUAUUUUCAUGUCAAAAUAUGAAAAAAAGUGUUUUCAGACGUCAAAAACAAUUCCAUUAACUCUUGCCCUUGAGCUUCUUGGUGCUUAGCUUAACUUCUAACUGCCCUUUCUAGUCGAUGACAUUAACAAAAGCCCCGGGAAGCUAUGAAUAGCAUCAUUCACUCUCAAGUUCUUCUGCUCCUCCCUACCAGUACUCAAGGCCUUCCUUAGUAAUGCACUUGGGCCAGAUGGCCUUCAGCCCAACUCCUUGUAAAUAUUCUAUUUUUAAUGAUAAUAAUUAGAAAAAUAUAAUUUUCCCUUCUACAAGACCCUUUCUACAGAGACCUCUUGGUGCUUCACAAAUAAUAAUUAAGCCUUAGGAAGGUGACCUCUUUUUCUGCUCACUAAAUGCCUAAGGGUUUCUCUUAAACCAUUUUUUAAGAUUAAGUUCAAAUGGCAGCAGAAGUAAGAGUUUAGACUCCUUUCUUCCACCUAGAGCGUCUUCAGGACACUAGAUGAACUCACACUUUUAACUAUUCUGGCCCUAAGAGCCACGAGCAGAAAAAUCCUAAAUUCCUUUUCCAGGGCUGUGAUGACUUAUUUGUAGCUCUAGUAAAACUUCCUGAUGUUUAGAGCAGGUUUUCAAACAGAAAACAGACCAACUAAGUAAGGGCUUAACCAACGGUCCUUAACCACAAAAGUGCUUGGGCAUAAACUUCAUCAGCUCUACCAAGGUGGGGGUAAGUAGAAAGAGGCAUAUUGACCUUUACUAAUGUUUAUUUAAAGUAUCGUUUCCUUUGACUACUAAUACCACAGACUUACUUGUAGUAUUUAUGACAUUGUCACCAGUAGAUAUCACCAAUAUAUUUCAUAUCACUGUAGAUACUUUAAAAUAAAAUGUUUAUGCACAUUGCUACAUUGUAGAUAGUCCAUCUUAUCCUGGGUUUUAAUUUAAAAGUUCACAGAUUGCUAUACUGUAUAUUUAAAAUGUUUAAUAACUAUAUUUCAACCAAAUAGUUUUCUUUUAUAAUUUCAGCUACUUUAUGAAUCAAAAAAUAAUUCUAGUAUAAUAUCCAGUCUUCUCAAUCAUGUGUGGAAUAUUCUCUAGGGUAGACCAUAAGUUGAGUCACAAAGCAAGUCUCAAUAAAUUUAUUUACUUAUUUUAUUAGCUUUAUUAUAAAACAACUUUCAAGUAAAUAAAAACACCACACACCACAAUCAACUAGACUCAAAGUCUGUAGAACUCAAUGAAAUUCAGUACAGUUAGAGUAGGCUGUGGUGCUUCCAAUUAAAAUUUACACGUGCAGUAUAAAAUAUAUUGUAUGCACCUAUCCACCACCAACCAAACCAAAUCAAACCAAACCAAAAACAAAAUAAAACACAUCAUGACAGAAUUAGAACUAGGGAAACAUUUAGCUAAAACUAACUCUCAAAAAAUUUAAAAGGACUAUGUAUAAAGUAACUUCUUCCGCAGCCGGGGACUGAAAGUACAAAUCACCAACAGAUGUGGAACUGGAAAACACAUACAUACAUGGAAAGAGAUAGUCAGAGAAGAAACAACAAAGGAAAUCAGGAAAUGUUUAGAGAAAACUGAUACCUGACCUUACUGGACACAGCAAUGUCUUUCCUCACAGUUGAAGUUACAACUCCCAAUAAUAGCAUGAGUGAAAAUGACACCUCAAAUCAAGAAUAUAGUAGUGCCUCUUCCAGAAUCAGGAAAAGAAGAGCAAGUUAAAGCCAAAGAUGAAAGGAGUCUGAAAAUAAUAGACUAGAGUGUAGAUAAAGGAAAUACCACAUGAAAACAACAGAAUCAAUGAAACCAAAGUACAACUAUUUAAACACAGGGCAAUGAAAUGAAAAUGUUUAGAUAAUAAAUGUUCCAAUGGGAUAGGGGAAUCAAAGAGAAACAUUGAAAAAAGUAAAGUUAGAAACGAAUAUGUGAACAUUAUUAUAAAAGUAAGAGAAAUAUAAAAGAUCAUAAGGGGCUAUAUAAAUAACUAUUUCAGCACAUUAAAAACCUACAUGAACAGGAAUUCUUAGAAUUACACAAAGUAGAAAACUUGGCUGAAGAAAAAUUUAGAAAUCUGAGCACAUUCAUAAAGAGAGACAGAGAUUUAAUCAAUAAUCAAUCUUUCCACAAAUUAAACGCAGCACCAAACUUCACAAGAAAAUUCUACUGAAGAGAACAGUCAAAAUGAGGGCCGAUCUAAUCUUCCUCCCCCAAAAUAAAAAUUGGAGUAGACAUGUAUAAGGCCUGUAUUACAUUGAUGCCCAAUCCAGGACAGAAAAACAAAGGAAAAAUAUUUGUGCUUAAGAACAAUAAGUUCAGAAAAGCUAUAGGAUCAAAGAUUAACAUGUAAAUGUAGUUGCAAUCUACAUUAUAUCAAUGAAUGAUGCCAGAAGAGUAAGAAAAUCAUCCUAUUUAAAAUAAUAUCAAAAAAUUAAAAUAUGCAAGAAUAAAUACAAGCAAGAAAGACAAAGAUUGUACAGUGCAAAUGACAAGGUAUUUCUCAAGAAAAAUGUAGAAGACACAAAUAAAUGAGAAGAUGUCCCAUGCUUAUGGAUUGGAAGACAUAGUUCCAUUAAGAUGGUGCCAUUAACUAACAUGAUUUACAUACUGGGUAUCUAAAGUCUACCUACUCUUUUUGUAGAAAUAGCUGCAUACUUUAGACUUAGCUUAGACCUAGCAUGCAAAGUCCAAGGUUUAACCUCUAAUACUACAAGGAAUAGAAAAACAGAUUCCCAAAAUCAUGUAUAAGUCAAAUAACUGUUCAAAUAGCUGAAUAGUCUUGAAUUCAAACAGUAAUAGUGAUCAAAGCAGUGUGGUAUUGGAAUAAAGCUAUAUAUAUAUAUAUGGAUGUAAAACACUCCAUAAAUGGGCCAUAAAUUCUAUGAUUAGUUGAUUUUCAACAAGGCUGAUCAAGGUGUUUGAUGGGGAGAAAAUUACUGUGGGUAACUGAACAAUUGUGGAUACACAUUGAAAAGAAAGGAAGAAGCUCUCUCUUAUCCUGUAUGGGAAACAGCUAAAUAUGAACCAAUAAUGUAAAUAAGGAACUAUAAUCACAGAAUUUGUAAAAACUAUGAACCUUGGAUUUAUCAAUGGAUUCUUAGACAACAAAUAGAACAACAAAUAGAAAAAGAGAUAAACUGGA
Molecule: long non-coding RNA, 5233 nt
Organism: Alexandromys fortis (reed vole)
Lineage: Eukaryota; Metazoa; Chordata; Mammalia; Rodentia; Cricetidae
Exons: 4
Source: RefSeq, a predicted model, not a curated record